Molecule: long non-coding RNA, 214 nt
Filed under: Physcomitrium patens
Lineage: Eukaryota; Viridiplantae; Streptophyta; Bryopsida; Funariales; Funariaceae
Description: long non-coding RNA (PPAT_LNC013612)
Source: RNAcentral
UCCAAACCAUACAAAACUUGCACCAAAACCAUAGCCAAAAAUCUGAAUUUUUUACCCUAGCCUUCAAAGCUCAAAUGGCCCUAAGAAUCUAACCCUAAUUCCUAAUAUGGCCUUGGGCAGCCUCCUCAAAGUCCAUUGGUCAUGAUUUUUGACCAAUAGGAAUGGAGAUUUUCAUCAUCCAUCUCCAUUCAUCUAUAUUGGUACCCUAAUUACU